UUUUGCUGCCCAAGAACAGGUUAGUCAUCGAUUUUAUUUUUUCAUUCUUGUUACGUUAUAAUAGUCGUCGUAUUUUUUGAUUAAGUAUAUUGUUUACUGGGAUGUAGCUGUAGAGGCCUUGUCGGCCGUAGUAUUUGAUUGAUCGUUAUGUCGUUUGUUGAAUCUUUGGUUAUCCCACGUCGUGUUUUCUUCGAGCACGUUGUUGUGUUGAUAUAUUGAUCGGUUAAAGCAUUGUAUAUUCAUUAAGUUGCUGCCUUCCCUGUUCAUUACAUUAUUCAGAAUUAGAGAAUUCCGUUGUGAGAUAUUGGAUCACCGUUAAGCCGUAAUCUAGUUAAAUGAAAGUCGGAUGGGUAGUUCUUGUGAUUUAUUUGGAAGUUUGAGUUGGGUAGCUUAAUUUUAUCAUGUUCGCCUUCGAAAUUACUGUUUCAUUCAUCCCUAGUAUGCCAGUUUUUUUGCAUAGUUUGAGUAGUAUGAUCCAUUUGCUGCCUCAGUGACUGAAUAUUUUUCCUAGUUGCAUCUUCUUAAGUGCAACUUCAUUUCGACUCACCCUAAAAUUUGGCCAAUAAUUCGAGGUUGCUAAUAGGGGUUUAUUUCAUUCUAUUGAAUGGAAUCGGACUGCCUUCUAACUUUUUGACCCUGGAGGCCAAAAGAAGAUAGUGGGCGUAUGUCUGUGGCAAGGUCUACCGCCCCAUCAGCCCUCGGGAACCUCUUCUUCAACCUUUGGAAAAUCAUUUCAAGCUGGUCGAAAGAGGAGGGUGAGAAUAACCCUGCAGAUACUUCUAAGAGGUGCAGGUGAUGCUUCUUUUGUGUGCUAAUUGCGCAAGAAGUGCUGCUUUGUUCAUUCACUGCAAACAAGUUGCCUAGAUGUUACAACUUGCCUAAUUACAUCCUACUUCGAAGAAUGUCUAGCUUUUCCCUAAAAAAAAAACCUACAUCAUUUGCUCCCUUUGUUUUGAUAGUUAGAUGCAUGUCAGUUUUUCGCCAUAUCCAUCUUCGGAAUCAAAUGCCUAUGGUCAAUUUUAUGUUUCCUCGACUAGUCUUUGUUCAUUCAAAUUACUUUUCCUUUUCUUUCUUUACUCUUUUGAAUCAAUUGUGGUUCAUUUACCUAGAACUUUUGGAGUUCUGUAAAGCGUCUCCCGACUAUCGAAUUGUGCUUGAGCGUUUUAUUAUCUUCCCCCUCUUAAUCUGUUUAAAAUUCUACGUGUCGUGAAUAUUGGCCUUUCUCGAUGUAUUGGUAUGAAUUUCAAUUUAACUAAAUUGUAGUUCGCUUGGUAAACAACAUAGAUUGGUAGCCUGCUUAGUUUAGUUCAGAUUUUCUUUGCAAAGCGAUGUUUUAUUCUUCCUUGGAAAAUUAUGAUAUUAUGAUGUUUUAGUUUCAAUUUUACUUUGAUGGAGUAUGGUGUGUAUUAUUAUAUUACAUAUGACUGCCAUAUUUGAAUUACUAUCUUGCAGUCCAUUUGAGUCACCACAGACUGUUUGGUUUAUCCAUUUGUUACAUUACUUCUCUAUGUAGCAAUUUCGUAUUGUUGGGUGUAUUAAUUUCGUUUCUCUUUUUUUUUCCUUUUUGCAUGACAACGCCUCGGAGUCCAACUCUAUGGUCAUUGGUGCAUUAUCAAUCUGGGCCAUUGAGGCCAAUCCCUCAUGAGUCGAUUUCAAAGGUCCUCUGAAAAUCAAUCUCGUAGUGCACGGAUACGAAAAGUCGGAAGAGGGAAAAUGGAUUAAAGUCCCACAUUUGAAGCGGCCAAGAGACUUGAAAGUCUCGGUUUCCAUUUUAUUUAUUUAUUUAUUUAUUUAUUUAAGUCAUUUAUUACUGUUGUCUUUAUUUAUUUAGUUAUUUAUUUUUAUUCAUUCAUUCGGGCCGAGAAGUCAAAGUUGUAUUUAAUAUAGGUGGAACAAGAUUUGAGUCAAAAGGCUCGAAAACUAGAUUAGGACAGGUGGAAUGGGUCAAAGGCCCGAUUAGACUAGGACAGAUUUUGUUGGUUUGGGCCCAAUGGCCUAAAUCAUUUACUGUCUCCUCCCUUUCCCCGUUUAUGUGUUUACUUGCUUAUUUUAUUUGUGUAGACUUAGUCAAAAUCCCUAUUAGGUCGUCUAAAACUGUUUUUACACAAAUCUUUUCGACAAAAUCAAUCACUUUUGAAAAAUAAACUUCUUUUAAGGUUAAUCAAAGAUGAUUUUUCAAAUAGUCCGGAUAACCGCAAGUUAGCGAACGUUUUAGGUGUCUAACACCUUCCUAAAAUGUUAAUAGGUACUGCUUAUUUAGAAUCUCUAACUUAAACGAUUUUACCGUUUUGAAUCGUCUAAGUACAUUACAAAGUUUCUUAAUUCCUUUUCAAAAUUAAGUGACAAUUUUUUUCAAAAGUCAAAAUUUUGUCGAAACAGACGUGAAUGGGGUAAACCAAUCACAAAAUUCAUAUUCACUUCUUCCCACUUUCAGGUGGGGAUGCUAAACUUUUGCAACGCACCACCCGGUCUUUAGUGCUCUACCUUAACCUAUUUACAAGUUGCAUGUUUAGCUACGAACUCUGCUAUAUCUUUCUUUUUACCAUUCCAUCAAUAAAUUUUUCGCAAGUCGCGGUACAUCUUGGUAGCACCUGGAUGAAUAGAAUAACACGUACCAUGCACUUCAACCAUAAUUCUCUAUCUCAAAUAAUCAACACAAGGCACACACAAUCUAUUCAGGUACCUUAGCAGUCUAUCUCUCCCUUGGAAAAACACCUCUACCUUUUGGUCUUUAACCGACUCCUUCAGUUUGACCAAACUAGAAUCCAUAUCCUGUUACUCUUUCACUUCUGAAAUUAGGGAAGAUUUGAAACUACUCUGAACCCAAAUAUUCCCUUCAACUGAAUCAACCAACCUAACACCCAAUCUAGCCAAACGAUGAACUUCUCGAGCUAACUCUUUCUUAUCAUUCUCCACAUGAGCAACACUGACCAUAGACAACCCACUAAGGGCAUUUGCUACUACAUUGGCUUUGCCUGAAUGAUGCCACAUACUCAUAUCAUAAUUCUUCAACAACUCCAACCACCUUCUCUGACAGAGAUUCAACUCCCUCCGAGUAAAAACAUAUUAAAAACUUUUGUGGUCCGUGAACAUAUUAACAUGCACACCAUACAGAUAAUGUCUCCAUAUUUUCAAAGCAAACACUACAACAGUUAAUUCCAGGUCAUGGAUUGGGUAAUUCUUUUCAUGAGGCUUCAACUGUCUAGAGGCAUAGGCUAUGGCUUUACCUUUCUGUAUCAACACACAACUCAAACCAACUCUAGAGGCAUCACAAUAAACAACAAAAUCGUUUGUACCAUCAGGUAAUGUUAGAACUGGGGCUGAAGUGAGUCGAGUCUUCAACUCCUGAAAACUCUUCUCGCAGGAAUCUGAUCACAGGAACUUAACUUUAUUUUGGGUCAAUUUAGACAUCGGAGAUGCAGUAGAUGAGAAACCUUCAACAAAAUGACGGUAGUAUCCAGCUAGACCCAAGAAACUCCUAAUGUCUAAUGGAGAGAUAGGUUUAGGCCAAUUUCUUACGGCUUCUGUUUUUUGGGGAUUGACUCUAAUGCCA
Molecule: long non-coding RNA, 3553 nt
Filed under: Capsicum annuum
Lineage: Eukaryota; Viridiplantae; Streptophyta; Magnoliopsida; Solanales; Solanaceae
Description: long non-coding RNA (CANN_LNC014079)
Source: RNAcentral